This 390-nucleotide ribosomal RNA is filed under the name uncultured bacterium. RNAcentral's name for it is "bacterial SSU rRNA". It matches the Rfam family "Bacterial small subunit ribosomal RNA", at positions 28 to 419 of the family's 1533-position model. The record is from RNAcentral.
AAUGAACGCUGGCGGCGUGCUUAACACAUGCAAGUCGAGCGGUAAGGCCCUUUCGGGGGUACACGAGCGGCGAACGGGUGAGUAACACGUGGGUGACCUGCCCUCAGCUCUGGGAUAAGCCUGGGAAACCGGGUCUAAUACCGGAUAUGACUCCAUGACGCAUGUUGUGGGGUGGAAAGCCUUGUGCGGCUGAGGAUGGGCCCGCGGCCUAUCAGCUUGUUGGUGGGGNGAUGGCCUACCAAGGCGACGACGGGUAGCCGGCCUGAGAGGGCGACCGGCCACACUGGGACUGAGACACGGCCCAGACUCCUACGGGAGGCAGCAGUGGGGAAUCUUGCGCAAUGGGCGAAAGCCUGACGCAGCGACGCCGCGUGAGGGAUGACGGCCUGG